UACGUAGGGGGGCUAGCGUUGUCCGGAUUUAUUGGGCGUAAAGAGCGUGUAGGCGGCCAGGUAGGUCUGGUGUGAAAACUCGAGGCUUAACCUCGAGAUGUCAUCGGAAACCAUCUGGCUAGAGUCCGGAAGAGGAGAGUGGAAUUCCCUGGUGUAGCGGUGAAAUGCGCAGAUAUCAGGAAGAACACCUAUGGCGAAGGCAGCUCUCUGGGACGGUACUGACGCUGAGACGCGAAAGCGUGGGGAGCGAACAGG
Molecule: ribosomal RNA, 255 nt
Filed under: uncultured bacterium
Lineage: Bacteria
Description: partial 16S ribosomal RNA
Rfam family: Bacterial small subunit ribosomal RNA
Source: RNAcentral